UUUCAUUGCCUCAAGGAUCAUUGGACACCUUGCUUCCUUCCCUGUGGGUGGGCUAUCCCUUUGAGUGGUUCUUGAUCACCAAGCAUUCAUUUCAUUUUUAUAUCAUUGUUUUUCUUUUUAUCACUAACCAAAAAGUACAAAAAUAUGUCAUCUAACCUUUGUCUUGCAGAUGAAGCAAUCUACAGUCAAGGCAAUUCAAAGCAUUCAUUG
This 210-nucleotide long non-coding RNA is filed under the name Lathyrus oleraceus (garden pea). RNAcentral's name for it is "Pisum sativum (pea) long non-coding RNA (PSAT_LNC007932)". The record is from RNAcentral. Lineage: Eukaryota; Viridiplantae; Streptophyta; Magnoliopsida; Fabales; Fabaceae.